Molecule: microRNA precursor, 64 nt
Filed under: Limulus polyphemus (Atlantic horseshoe crab)
Lineage: Eukaryota; Metazoa; Arthropoda; Merostomata; Xiphosura; Limulidae
Description: Lpo-Mir-8-P11_pre stem-loop
Rfam family: mir-8/mir-141/mir-200 microRNA precursor family
About the family: The bounds of the precursors are predicted based on conservation and base pairing and are not generally known.
Source: RNAcentral
CAUCUUACCGGGCAGGAUUAGAGUUCUUUACCAAUAUCUUCUAAUACUGUCAGGUAAAGAUGUG